Molecule: ribosomal RNA, 432 nt
Filed under: Mesovelia sp. 2279
Lineage: Eukaryota; Metazoa; Arthropoda; Insecta; Hemiptera; Mesoveliidae
Description: partial 16S ribosomal RNA
Source: RNAcentral
GUUCUAUAGUUAUUAAUUUUAGAUUGGGCCUGCCCUAUGAUUUAUUAAAUGGCUGCAGUAUUAUAACUGUACUAAGGUAGCAUAAUAAUUUGUCUUUUAAUUGAAGGCUUGAAUGAAUGGUCUGAUGAAAAAUUAACUUUUUUAUUUUAAUAUUUUGAAUUUGAUUUUUUAGUCAAAAAGCUUAAAUUUUUUUAUAGGACGAGAAGACCCUUUAGAAUUUUAUUUUUAUUAAAAUUAAUUUAUUUUGUUUAUUAUAUUAUUUGUUUUUUAUAUUAAUUUUGUUGGGGUGAUUUAAAAAUUUUUUUAACUUUUUAUUUAUAUUUCAUUAAUUUAUGUUUUUUUGAUCCUAUUUUUUAGAUUAUAAGAUUAAAUUACCUAAGGGAUAACAGCGUUAUUUUUUUGGAGAGUUCUUAUUGAUAAAGAAGUUUGCGA